GAGUAAAGUCGUAACAAGGUUUCCGUAGGUGAACCUGCGGAAGGAUCAUUAACGAGUUUUGAAAAGCGAGCUUUGUUGCUGGCGUGGAGACGCGCAUGUGCACAAGCUUGACGCUCAAUCCAACUCAACCCCUGUGCACCUAUUGGAGUCAGUAGUCUUUUUCGACUGGCCCUCUUUGAGGACAGUCGGAGGGCGAGCACUUCAAACCCCUUGAAGUUAGUAGUUGGAUUCCAGGAAGAGGCUCGGCUUGUGUCGCUGUGUGCGGUGGAGGACGCCGCAUGCAAAAGCAUUUUGCCUUUGCCUUGAAAAGGGAGACCGGCGAGCGCUUUGAGUCUUACAAACCUGUAUAAGUCGUGUUAGAAUGUAAUGCUCCUUGUGGGCGAAAUAAAUACAACUUUCAACAACGGAUCUCUUGGCUCUCGCAUCGAUGAAGAACGCAGCGAAAUGCGAUAAGUAAUGUGAAUUGCAGAAUUCAGUGAAUCAUCGAAUCUUUGAACGCACCUUGCGCCCCUUGGUAUUCCGAAGGGCAUGCCUGUUUGAGUGUCAUUUAAAUCUCAAAACCCUUUGCUUUUCGAAGCGCUGGGUUUUGGACUUGGAGGUUUCUGCUGGCCCGCCUCUGGUGGUUUUGUCGGCUCCUCUCAAAUGCAUUAGCUGGACUUUGGUUCGCGUGAUCGGUGUGAUAGUUAACUCGAUUCGCCGCGCGCUUGCCUGAUGGGUCUGCUUCUAAUGGCCUUCGGGCAAGGCGAAAGCCUUCUAUAUAGACCCUUGACCUCAAAUCAGGUAGGACACCCAGUCCC
Molecule: ribosomal RNA, 797 nt
Filed under: Phellinopsis andina
Lineage: Eukaryota; Fungi; Basidiomycota; Agaricomycetes; Hymenochaetales; Hymenochaetaceae
Description: eukaryotic LSU rRNA
Rfam family: 5.8S ribosomal RNA (bases 393-546)
Source: RNAcentral